CAAGGGCGGGACCUCGGUCGGCAAGUAGCUAUUCAGUGUCCGCUCUGUGCUGGGGAAACAACUGUAGACAGACCAGCCCUUGUUCUCAGGCAGCUGACAAGCCAUUCUUCUGUGCGUGUCAAAUGAAAAUCCUCUUCCUACAGACUGCCUGCCGAUUCUCAGAAACUGAAAUAAGCUUCCGCGACCAUCGUUCCUGCAUUUAUUUAUGCCGCCUAUGGCUUGUCAGGACCCUAUGCAGCCACUGGAAUGACUUUUGGCCAGGGGAAGAUGGCAGCUCUCUGGUCUAGAGCGGAGGUUGCGUGGGCUAUGAGAACUAGAAUGAUUUAACCCAUACUUGGGUGGUGGUGAGUGGUGCUCAAGGCUUUAAUGGGAACAGAAAAGAAGGGAUGUUCUAAAAGAAGCUCGUGUUCUCUAAGCAGAAGAGUCAGCAUGUUGGCCCGGGACCUCUGCCCACAGCACAGCUCAGGCCAGUCUCCACCUGUGAACGUCCUGAUUCAUAAGCUAAAUGCCCAGUAGGAACCUCGGCUCUACAUUCUUUACCAUCAAUCAAAGGAAUCUAGUGGUUUUCAGAAGCAGCUCAACAUGGCCAAUAAUUCUGAGACACCCAUUUCUAGUACAUUAAAAGGUAUCACAUGUUAAUAGUCUUUUUGGAAGCUAGUCUCUCCAGGACAUUUUUUUAAACGAAUGUUUCUCAUAAUUUUAGAGGACCCAGUCUUCUUCCUCUCACUAUUUAAUGCAGUGGCCAAUGGUUGUGAAUACCUGUCAUAAGUGCUCACAAGAGCAAAUUGGUCAGGUUUUCCUUUGAGAGCACAAGAUCCUUAUGGAGAAGAGAUUGCAAGGAAGGAGAGCCACCUGGGAGACCACUUAGGAAGAUCAGUGAUAAAGUAGGCAAAAGCGGAGAAUCUGGAUGGAACAAUAACCUGGAGAAGCUUCUUGUGUUGAAGGAUCUCUGGCUUAGUUGGUUUCCCCCCAGCAGACUCUGCCUGCGAGUGGUUUGGGUGGUGAUGCCAGAGACCACCGACAGGAGAGUGAGGAAGGAGCCCUGGCAGGGGAGGCAGUGAGGGAAGGCUGCGUGUGAAGCCAGAGGAGGAAGAGCAAGCCCGGAGUUUAUCCACAGAAUGAAGCCACCAGGAGGGGUUCUCUCUGAUUCUCACCUGAAUCGAGCAAGCAGUAAGCGCCCUAGAUGCUCCUUGCAGGAAUAUCCGUAGAGUCAGUGUUUGGACACGUCCACCCACCCCCCGAGACCCUUCCUCCGCGGCCCUCUGCCUGAUGCUCUCCUGAGAUGCCCCAUGACUUGUUCCGUCCUGCGUUCAGGUCUGUGACCAAAUAUCCCCCGUCUGAGGGGCCUCCUUGACCACCAGACCUAAAGCAUGGCCGCGUGGUGGUCCGAUGUGUGACCAACCCACCCCACUGACCCUCUGCUCUAGCGCGGAGCCUGCCCGUCACGGGCCCUGGGUGAAUCGUCACAGGGUGUGACCGGGUGGAAGGACCCCCCAGCAGGCUGUGAUCCCCGCAAAGGCAACCCCGUAUCUGUGUCCUCGGGGUCUGGCGCUGGGAUUGCAGGCACUCAGUAAAUAACUGUGGAAGGAAGACGUGGAAGUACAGUGAGAACACGAAAUGCUGUGUCACUGGCCAUUGCUGAAAUGAAGAUGUGGCCUUUCUAGACUCCACAAGUGAGUCUAUAGGACCCUGUCGGUAAACAAGCGCGGGCGACGCGCGGACCCUGAUGGGGGGCUGCAGGCUGGAGGCCUCCCCGGGACCCCACCCCUCAGCCCGGACCCUGAUGGGGGGCUGCAGGCUGGAGGCCUCCCGGACCCCACCCCUCAGCCCGGACCCUGAUGGGGGGCCGCAGGCUGGAGGCCUCCCCGGGACCCCACCCCUCAGCCCGGACCCUGAUGGGGGGCCGCAGGCUGGAGGCCUCCCCGGGACCCCACCCCUCAGCCCGGACCC
Long non-coding RNA from Choloepus didactylus (southern two-toed sloth), 1950 nucleotides. RefSeq lists it as uncharacterized. The record is from RefSeq and is a predicted model, not a curated record. NCBI's taxonomy places the organism in Eukaryota, Metazoa, Chordata, Mammalia, Pilosa, Megalonychidae. The transcript has 5 exons.